AUUGAACGCUGGCGGCAGGCCUAACACAUGCGAGUCGAGCGGAUGAAGGGAGCUUGCUCCUGGAUUCAGCGGCGGACGGGUGGGUAAUGCCUAGGAAUCUGCCUGGUAGUGGGGGAUAACGUCCGGAAACGGGCGCUAAUACCGCAUACGUCCUGAGGGAGAAAGUGGGGGAUCUUCGGACCUCACGCUAUCAGAUGAGCCUAGGUCGGAUUAGCUAGUUGGUGGGGUAAAGGCCUACCAAGGCGACGAUCCGUAACUGGUCUGAGAGGAUGAUCAGUCACACUGGAACCGAGACACGGUCCAGACUCCUACGGGAGGCAGCAGUGGGGAAUAUUGGACAAUGGGCGAAAGCCUGAUCCAGCCAUGCCGCGUGUGUGAAGAAGGUCUUCGGAUUGUAAAGCACUUUAAGUUGGGAGGAAGGGCAGUAAGUUAAUACCUUGCUGUUUUGACGUUACCAACAGAAUAAGCACCGGCUAACUUCGUG
RNAcentral lists this ribosomal RNA (484 nucleotides) under uncultured bacterium. RNAcentral describes it as "partial 16S ribosomal RNA". It matches the Rfam family "Bacterial small subunit ribosomal RNA", at positions 30 to 507 of the family's 1533-position model. The record is from RNAcentral.